RNAcentral lists this ribosomal RNA (1336 nucleotides) under Pseudarthrobacter defluvii. RNAcentral's name for it is "bacterial SSU rRNA". It matches the Rfam family "Bacterial small subunit ribosomal RNA", at positions 37 to 1385 of the family's 1533-position model. The record is from RNAcentral. Lineage: Bacteria; Bacillati; Actinomycetota; Actinomycetes; Micrococcales; Micrococcaceae.
UGGCGGCGUGCUUAACACAUGCAAGUCGAACGAUGAUGCCCACUUGUGGGGGGAUUAGUGGCGAACGGGUGAGUAACACGUGAGUAACCUGCCCUUGACUCUGGGAUAAGCCUGGGAAACUGGGUCUAAUACCGGAUAUGACCUUCCAUCGCAUGGUGUGUUGGUGGAAAGCUUUUGUGGUUUUGGAUGGACUCGCGGCCUAUCAGCUUGUUGGUGGGGUAAUGGCCUACCAAGGCGACGACGGGUAGCCGGCCUGAGAGGGUGACCGGCCACACUGGGACUGAGACACGGCCCAGACUCCUACGGGAGGCAGCAGUGGGGAAUAUUGCACAAUGGGCGCAAGCCUGAUGCAGCGACGCCGCGUGAGGGAUGACGGCCUUCGGGUUGUAAACCUCUUUCAGUAGGGAAGAAGCGUAAGUGACGGUACCUGCAGAAGAAGCGCCGGCUAACUACGUGCCAGCAGCCGCGGUAAUACGUAGGGCGCAAGCGUUAUCCGGAAUUAUUGGGCGUAAAGAGCUCGUAGGCGGUUUGUCGCGUCUGCCGUGAAAGUCCGGGGCUCAACUCCGGAUCUGCGGUGGGUACGGGCAGACUAGAGUGAUGUAGGGGAGACUGGAAUUCCUGGUGUAGCGGUGAAAUGCGCAGAUAUCAGGAGGAACACCGAUGGCGAAGGCAGGUCUCUGGGCAUUAAAUCACGCUGAGGAGCGAAAGCAUGGGGAGCGAACAGGAUUAGAUACCCUGGUAGUCCAUGCCGUAAACGUUGGGCACUAGGUGUGGGGGACAUUCCACGUUUUCCGCGCCGUAGCUAACGCAUUAAGUGCCCCGCCUGGGGAGUACGGCCGCAAGGCUAAAACUCAAAGGAAUUGACGGGGGCCCGCACAAGCGGCGGAGCAUGCGGAUUAAUUCGAUGCAACGCGAAGAACCUUACCAAGGCUUGACAUGAACCGGAAAGACCUGGAAACAGGUGCCCCGCUUGCGGUCGGUUUACAGGUGGUGCAUGGUUGUCGUCAGCUCGUGUCGUGAGAUGUUGGGUUAAGUCCCGCAACGAGCGCAACCCUCGUUCUAUGUUGCCAGCGCGUGAUGGCGGGGACUCAUAGGAGACUGCCGGGGUCAACUCGGAGGAAGGUGGGGACGACGUCAAAUCAUCAUGCCCCUUAUGUCUUGGGCUUCACGCAUGCUACAAUGGCCGGUACAAAGGGUUGCGAUACUGUGAGGUGGAGCUAAUCCCAAAAAGCCGGUCUCAGUUCGGAUUGGGGUCUGCAACUCGACCCCAUGAAGUCGGAGUCGCUAGUAAUCGCAGAUCAGCAACGCUGCGGUGAAUACGUUCCCGGGCCUUGUA